UCUUCCCUCGGGAGGAAAUGCUAUCCUGGGUUUUGACGUCAGGCUUUAUGGCCUCAACGCUGAGAGAGUAACAACAACUCGCUGUGAUGUCACGAUUGGAGGAGUAUGCUGUUUUUGUUCAGCUCGUCCCCCUGGAGAGGCUACAGUGUCAGAGUUGAGGACUGUCACAGUAGCUCUGUGUCCCUGACAGUCCAAACCCACUCCUCUGGAAAGAAGAAACUCAGUAGGGAAUCUUUUGGGGAAACAGAACUGGGAAAACAGAUUCAACCCCUGAUGUACCCCCCUGACAUCCAUCCACCAGAACCCCAUGGGAAACCUCAAGGCCUCCUCCUCCUCCUCUCUGCUCCUGCUGCCAAAAGCCCAGCUGGAGAGUCAUAAGGUCACUCAGCUGAUUUAAUCCCCGGUCCAGGUCACAUAAACACACAACAAUGGGAAAGCGACCAGUAGAAGUUGACUUGAAUGUUCUGAAGAUUGUCAUGAAACUGAAUUUAUUCAUUUUUGGCAACAAAAAUAUGUUGUUUUUUAUCCUGAACCACGAACUGAACAGAAACAGCUUCUUUAGUACAUGACAGUAAAGUUCAGAAAUGUUAUCUAAUUUGUGUUUACUGAUGCAUCAGAACAAGCUGCUGCAUAAAAACCAGACUCCUUUGAUCUUUUACAGCAUUACAAUGCCUCACAACAAGUUGAGCGUUUCAGUAAUUUUGCAAAAGGGCUUAACAUUUGUUUAAUAUAAUCUCACUUUAUCUUGAUGUCAUCAGGACUGAAGGUCACAUAAGUGACCCUAUUUGGAAACAAAAGCCCUGUGUUAAAGAGUAUCUUUUAUUUUUCAACCUGAAGUGACUAAUGGGAACAACAAUUUUAGAAUUUGGUCCAGUACUGAGGGAGAGGGCUGUGGCCUGCAGUCGCAAAAUGGGCUGCAAAAUGUCCUUUCUGGACAGCAUUCAUCCUAAAGCUGCAGCCAGCCUGCAGGGUUUCAUAAUUCUGCAGCAUUGCAUCUGUCCUGCAUUACACUGUGGCCACACCGCACUCAUUUUCUUGUCUGUCAAAUGUACAGCAAUACUUACAAUGCACAGAACUUUGCAAAACAACUGCAAGGGAUUAUGUAAGAAGACUCUGGUCACGCAAUAGUAUAACCUGAGACUAAGAAUAACAAUGUAGUGAUGCUGGAGAGAUUGUACAGUUGGAAUGGCAAAGGAGAAAGUACUUAAAAUUAAAAUGAGAAAAAAAAGACAUAGAGAGACUGAGAGAAGGACAGAAAGAACAGAAAAACUAAAAGAGGGUCAAAGACAGCAAUUUGUUUUGUACACCUCUUUUUCCUUAUCAGUGUCUGUCAGGUUGUGAAUGUAUGCUGUGACGAGAGCAAGACUGGAUAGGUGAUUUCAUCUUUGGGACUAAAGCACGAUGAGGACUCCCUGUACCUGAAACCACUGAAGCACAGGAAUGCCUCUAACACAGAAGGCCUAUUGUGGGUUCAUAUCUGAUCUGAAAUCAGCAAAACCGGCCACCGAAUAGAAAAACAGCCAGACUCUUGGACGGAUGGAGGAAUGAAGACAAACAGACAAACUGGGUGACCUGCAGUGAGAACACAAAGUGCCAGACUGUCGAGGUCUGACAGGUGGAUUAGCUGUAAGAACAUCCAGAAAACAAAACCCUCCAGGUUAGCUUCUGCAUGUUCAAGUCCUGUAGAGCAAUACAUAUCGUCGUAGGAUAUUAUAUAGGAACAGCAUAUGAUAGGGCAUGAUAUAUAAAAGACACAUGAACAUUUUUUAACUAUCCAUCUUUGAAAGCUUGGUUUUAUUCCAUGAAUUGUGAUUCUAAAUGUGAUUAAUUAAUGCAUAAUGACAGAAAUUGUGGCCCUAAAGAAAACAAAGCUAUGCUGUGCUUUAAUCAGCCAAUCACAAACAAGUAUUUCCUGUUGCCAAAGUGGUACAUCUCACCUGCAUAAACAAGGACAUGUCAAUAAUGUUGUCAACACACACUGGAUGCUUUGUGAUCAGAGAAUGAGCCAGGUGCAACUCACAAUAUGUACAGUGUGUUCAAAUUUAUGAGGAAGUCACACACAUAGAUGUCACAUUAAAGUCUAAUGUGAUGGUGAUCCCACUACUAAGCUUUAGGUGAUAGUGAGUUCGCCUGGACCUACUGUAAGUCACUUUGUUAAAGUUUCUUUAUGUUCUUAAAUAUAUGCUAAAAAAUAUAAUAAAUAAGAUAUAAACAGAAAUCUACUACUACUUUACAGUACAGUACAUGCAAACACACACACACACACACACACACACACACACACACACACACACACACACACACACACACACACUCAAAGAGAUAUUUUAAUAUGCAAAAAUGUUAAUGAAACUAUGUAUCCGUGAAC
This is a long non-coding RNA of Dicentrarchus labrax (European seabass), 2368 nucleotides long. RefSeq lists it as uncharacterized. The record is from RefSeq and is a predicted model, not a curated record. The transcript is spliced from 3 exons. NCBI's taxonomy places the organism in Eukaryota, Metazoa, Chordata, Actinopteri, Moronidae.